This 528-nucleotide ribosomal RNA is filed under the name uncultured eukaryote. Its description in RNAcentral is "bacterial SSU rRNA". It matches the Rfam family "Eukaryotic small subunit ribosomal RNA", at positions 617 to 1150 of the family's 1831-position model. The record is from RNAcentral.
AGUUAAAAAGCUCGUAGUUGGAUUUCUGGAGGGAGUGAUCAGUCCAGCUCUAUGAGUUGGUACUUGAAUCGUCUCCCACCAUCUUUCAGGAAAACCUUUCUGGCAUUAAGUUGUCGGGUAGGGGAUCCUGAUCCUUUACUGUGAAAAAAUUAGAGUGUUCAAAGCAGGCUUAUGCCGUUGAAUAUAUUAGCAUGGAAUAAUAAGAUAGGACUAUGGUACUAUUUUGUUGGUUUGUGCACCAUGGUAAUGAUUAAUAGGGAUAGUUGGGGGUAUUCGUAUUCAAUUGUCAGAGGUGAAAUUCUUGGAUUUAUGGAAGACGAACUACUGCGAAAGCAUUUACCAAGGAUGUUUUCAUAAUCAAGAACGAAAGUUAGGGGAUCGAAGAUGAUUAGAUACCAUCGUAGUCUUAACCAUAAACUAUGCCGACUAGGGAUUGGUCUUGUUUGUUAUGACUGGAUCAGCACCUUAUGAGAAAUCAAAGUCUUUGGGUUCCGGGGGGAGUAUGGUCGCAAGGCUGAAACUUAAAGA